GAUUAGCUCAGUUGGUAGAGCAAUUGACUCUUAAUCAAUGGGUCCAGGGUUCGAAUCCCUG
Molecule: transfer RNA, 61 nt
Filed under: bovine gut metagenome
Rfam family: tRNA
About the family: Transfer RNA (tRNA) molecules are approximately 80 nucleotides in length.
Source: RNAcentral